RNAcentral lists this ribosomal RNA (1483 nucleotides) under metagenome. Its description in RNAcentral is "bacterial SSU rRNA". It matches the Rfam family "Bacterial small subunit ribosomal RNA". The record is from RNAcentral.
AGAGUUUGAUCCUGGCUCAGGAUGAACGCUGGCGGCGUGCUUAACACAUGCAAGUCGAACGAAGCACUUGAGAUUGAUUCUUCGGAAGAUUUCUCUUGUGACUUAGUGGCGGACGGGUGAGUAACGCGUGGGUAACCUGCCUCACACAGGGGGAUAACAGUUGGAAACGACCGCUAAUACCGCAUAACCCGCUAGGGCCGCAUGGCCCGGACGGAAAAGAUUUAUCGGUGUGAGAUGGACCCGCGUUGGAUUAGCUAGUUGGCAGGGUAACGGCCUACCAAGGCGACGAUCCAUAGCCGGCCUGAGAGGGUGAACGGCCACAUUGGGACUGAGACACGGCCCAAACUCCUACGGGAGGCAGCAGUGGGGAAUAUUGCACAAUGGGGGAAACCCUGAUGCAGCGACGCCGCGUGAGUGAAGAAGUAUUUCGGUAUGUAAAGCUCUAUCAGCAGGGAAGAAAAUGACGGUACCUGACUAAGAAGCCCCGGCUAACUACGUGCCAGCAGCCGCGGUAAUACGUAGGGGGCAAGCGUUAUCCGGAUUUACUGGGUGUAAAGGGAGCGUAGACGGUUAAGCAAGUCAGAAGUGAAAGGCUGGGGCUCAACCCCGGGACUGCUUUUGAAACUGUUUAACUAGAGUGCUGGAGAGGUAAGCGGAAUUCCUAGUGUAGCGGUGAAAUGCGUAGAUAUUAGGAAGAACACCAGUGGCGAAGGCGAUUUGCUGGACACUAACUGACGCUGAGGCGCGAAAGCGUGGGGAGCAAACAGGAUUAGAUACCCUGGUAGUCCACGCCGUAAACGAUGGAUACUAGGUGUGGGGGGUCUGACCCCCUCCGUGCCGCAGUUAACACAAUAAGUAUCCCACCUGGGGAGUACGAUCGCAAGGUUGAAACUCAAAGGAAUUGACGGGGGCCCGCACAAGCGGUGGAGUAUGUGGUUUAAUUCGAAGCAACGCGAAGAACCUUACCAGGUCUUGACAUCCCGAUGACCGGUGUAGAGAUACACCUUCUCUUCGGAGCAUCGGUGACAGGUGGUGCAUGGUUGUCGUCAGCUCGUGUCGUGAGAUGUUGGGUUAAGUCCCGCAACGAGCGCAACCCUUGUUGCUAGUUGCUACGCAAGAGCACUCUAGCGAUACUGCCGUUGACAAAACGGAGGAAGGUGGGGACGACGUCAAAUCAUCAUGCCCCUUAUGACCUGGGCCACACACGUACUACAAUGGCGGUUAACAGAGGGAAGCAAUACCGCGAGGUGGAGCAAAUCCCUAAAAGCCGUCCCAGUUCGGAUUGCAGGCUGCAACCCGCCUGCAUGAAGUCGGAAUCGCUAGUAAUCGCGGAUCAGCAUGCCGCGGUGAAUACGUUCCCGGGCCUUGUACACACCGCCCGUCACACCAUGAGAGUCGGGAACACCCGAAGUCCGUAGCCUAACCGCAAGGGGGGCGCGGCCGAAGGUGGGUUCGAUAAUUGGGGUGAAGUCGUAACAAGGUA